Molecule: unclassified non-coding RNA, 329 nt
Organism: Mesocricetus auratus (golden hamster)
Lineage: Eukaryota; Metazoa; Chordata; Mammalia; Rodentia; Cricetidae
Gene: 7SK
Rfam family: 7SK RNA
About the family: 7SK was discovered as an abundant small nuclear RNA in the mid-70s but a possible function has only recently been suggested. Two independent studies have found that 7SK RNA binds the CDK9/cyclin T complex (known as elongation factor P-TEFb). P-TEFb activates transcription by phosphorylating the C-terminal domain of RNA polymerase II.
Source: Ensembl
GGCGGUGAGGGCGAUCUGGCUGCGACAUCUGUCACCCCAUUGAUCGCCAGGGUUGAUUCGGCUGAUCUGGCUGGCUAGGCGGGUGCCCCCUUCCUCCCUCACUGCUCCAUGUGAGUCCCUCCCGAAGCUGCGCGCUCGGUGGAAGAAGACGACCUUCCCCGAUUAGAGGAGGACGGUCUUGGGUCAAGGGUAUACAAGUAGCUGCGCUCCCCUGCUAGAACCUCCAAACAAGCUCUCAUGUCAUUUCUCCUACCCUACCACCUUCCCCUAGGCCUCUCUAUUCCAGCUAUUUAUUUAUUUUUUCAAGCCAGAUGUUGUUUGAGGUCUCU